RNAcentral lists this ribosomal RNA (480 nucleotides) under uncultured bacterium. RNAcentral describes it as "partial 16S ribosomal RNA". It matches the Rfam family "Bacterial small subunit ribosomal RNA", at positions 28 to 507 of the family's 1533-position model. The record is from RNAcentral.
GACGAACGCUGGCGGCGUGCUUAACACAUGCAAGUCGAACGAUGCAGCAAAGAAUCGAAGCUUCUGCAGAAAUUCAUUUCGGAUUAGUGGCAGAAGGGUGAGUAACGCGUGAGCAACCUACCUCUUACAAAGGGAUAGACUCGGGAAACCGGGAGUAAUACCAUCUAACAUUUCGACGCAGCAUUUCGAUGCAAUCAAAGCUACGGCGGUAAGCGAUGGGGUCGCGUCCCAUUAACCGGAUGGUGAGGUAACGGCUCACCAUAGUGAGGAUGGGUAACCGGGGUGUGAGGGAGAACGGUCACACUGGAGCUGAGACACGGUCGAGACUCCUACGGGAGGCAGCAGUGGGGAAUAUAGCAAAAUGGAGGGAGCGCUGAUGCAGCGACGACGGGAGAGUGAUGAAGGAAGUCGUUUAGUAAAACUCUGUUCUAUGGGAAGAAAAGGACUGUACCAUAGGAGAAAGCCCCGGCUAAAUACGUG